UACGUAGGGUGCGAGCGUUGUCCGGAAUUAUUGGGCGUAAAGAGCUUGUAGGUGGUUUGUCGCGUCUGCUGUGAAAAUCCGAGGCUCAACCUCGGACUUGCAGUGGGUACGGGCAGACUAGAGUGUGGUAGGGGGAGACUGGAAUUCCUGGUGUAGCGGUGAAAUGCGCAGAUAUCAGGAGGAACACCGAUGGCGAAGGCAGGUCUCUGGGCCACUACUGACGCUGAGAAGCGAAAGCAUGGGGGAGCGAACAGG
RNAcentral lists this ribosomal RNA (255 nucleotides) under uncultured bacterium. RNAcentral's name for it is "partial 16S ribosomal RNA". It matches the Rfam family "Bacterial small subunit ribosomal RNA", at positions 524 to 776 of the family's 1533-position model. The record is from RNAcentral.